AGCUUGGUCAGUUCAUCCGAGCAGGCUUGAUAAGACUGGGUGUCAGCUUGGGCAGCAGUUUGUGAACUGUUGCACCUUUUGGGUAAUAAAUUCUUAUUUAAAAGUGAAAAGAGAAAAAGAAAUUUAGCAUUGUACAAUCUUGAGCUUCCUACAGGGACUGCAGAGCAAUGGAAGGGCUGUUCCUUUGGGAUGGCAUCUACCACCAGCCCCUGAGUACAUCUACAGUCCCUUCUGUCCCCUUCCUUGGAGGGAGAAGCCUGGAACCUGGACUAUAUAACUGACUUUCAGAGACCACAAGAGGCUCCCAUAAUCAUCUCAACCUCCAACAUAUUGUGUACCUUACUGUGUAUAUAAAUUGUAAACCACUUUGGAAGGCUGACUGAAAAGCAGGAUACAUAUGUAUGCAUGCAUAAAUAAAUAACCAAGAGGUGGCAGCAUUUAA
Long non-coding RNA from Hemicordylus capensis (graceful crag lizard), 442 nucleotides. RefSeq lists it as uncharacterized. Lineage: Eukaryota; Metazoa; Chordata; Lepidosauria; Squamata; Cordylidae. The record is from RefSeq and is a predicted model, not a curated record. The transcript is spliced from 3 exons.